This is a non-coding RNA of Picea glauca (white spruce), 118 nucleotides long. The record is from Rfam. Lineage: Eukaryota; Viridiplantae; Streptophyta; Pinopsida; Pinales; Pinaceae.
AUGAACAUGCCUACAACGUUAAUGCACUAGAUCCCAUUAUAAAUCCACAGUUAAGUGCACUUUGGCUACAAUAAUACUGUUAUGGGUGACCUUCCAGGAAUUCCUAGUGUUUUACAUG